This is a non-coding RNA of Pelobates cultripes (western spadefoot toad), 939 nucleotides long. The record is from the annotation of a GenBank genome assembly. Lineage: Eukaryota; Metazoa; Chordata; Amphibia; Anura; Pelobatidae.
CCCCUUUUACCCUACCUCACGUUGCUCCAGUUCCACGAUCUUCUGUGCUCAUGCAGGCUAUACUGCGAGCAGCAGGAAGGGGUAGUGGCUGGCCUGCUCUCAAUUCGCCAGACACUCUGCACACGGUAGGGCCGCCACCUCUCAGCUGCCGGAUAUGCAGGGCCGUCUUUAACGCUGGACAAAAGGGGCAGCUGCCUCUUGAGCCCCACUGCCCACAAUAAUAUGCAAAAAAAAUUUUUUGCCUCCUGAGUCCUUCACUAUGCGAGCAGCAUCGCUGCACUGGUAUUCACGCUGAACACUCCUUAUAGAAAUGCAUUGAUUCAACGCAUCUCUAUGAGGAGGUGCAGUGCAGUGUUUUGCCACGCAUGCACAAUAGCCUCCCAAUGCUUCUCUAUGGGAAAGCAGUGGGUUGGCUGAUAUAUACUCACACACUCCACAUUUAUGUGUGUGUGUUGUGGUGGAGGGCGUGAUUGCAUGCUAGGAAGUGGGAAGGUGGGAUCCUGGGGGUCCAAGUAAAUUCUUGCCCAGGGUCCAAUCAAUAUUAAAGACGGCGGAUAUGGCAUCAAACACUGUAUCUGGUGGCUGGCGUAGACAAAGGCUUUGAGCUCUUGCGGCCGCGGCUGGUCAUAGAAGCAUGCGAUCAGUCACGGGCCGCGGCUGAUCAUAGCCACAGCUCGCAGAGGCCCCAGGGUAGGCGGCCUACCAGGAAAUUUCCCGGUAGACCAGUCCAGCCUUGCUUCUUCUAACACAUGCCAGUUUCUCAUGCAUCAUCACUCUGAAACCUUGUUCUCUCCCUUUGACAUUACUACCUCCACCUCUCUAUCCUAUGGGGCCUUCUGCUAACCCACUCUCUCAGGCUGUGGGACUAUAACUAUAGGGGUGUUGGAUUUUUGCUUUCCAUUUAUUCAUCCUUUUAUAUCUUUCCAGUUAAUCCUUCCC